This 86-nucleotide transfer RNA is filed under the name Flavobacteriaceae bacterium. RNAcentral's name for it is "tRNA-Leu". It matches the Rfam family "tRNA". From Rfam's summary of the family: Transfer RNA (tRNA) molecules are approximately 80 nucleotides in length. Their secondary structure includes four short double-helical elements and three loops (D, anti-codon, and T loops). The record is from RNAcentral. RNAcentral also lists the same sequence under 1 other name. Lineage: Bacteria; Pseudomonadati; Bacteroidota; Flavobacteriia; Flavobacteriales; Flavobacteriaceae.
GCGCACGUGGCGGAAUUGGUAGACGCGCUAGGUUGAGGGCCUAGUGGGAUUAAUAUCCCGUGGAGGUUCAAGUCCUCUCGUGCGCA